GCCCGGCUAGCUCAAUCGGUAGAGCGUGAGACUCUUAAUCUCAAUAGUUCGACCCCCACGUCGGGCU
Molecule: transfer RNA, 67 nt
Filed under: Pyrenophora teres f. teres 0-1
Lineage: Eukaryota; Fungi; Ascomycota; Dothideomycetes; Pleosporales; Pleosporaceae
Description: tRNA-Lys (CTT) (tRNA-Lys-CTT-5-1)
Rfam family: tRNA
About the family: Transfer RNA (tRNA) molecules are approximately 80 nucleotides in length. Their secondary structure includes four short double-helical elements and three loops (D, anti-codon, and T loops). Further hydrogen bonds mediate the characteristic L-shaped molecular structure. tRNAs have two regions of fundamental functional importance: the anti-codon, which is responsible for specific mRNA codon recognition, and the 3' end, to which the tRNAs corresponding amino acid is attached (by aminoacyl-tRNA synthetases). tRNAs cope with the degeneracy of the genetic code in two manners: having more than one tRNA (with a specific anti-codon) for a particular amino acid; and 'wobble' base-pairing, i.e. permitting non-standard base-pairing at the 3rd anti-codon position.
Source: RNAcentral